AAGAGAUUGUAGUCACCCAC
RNAcentral lists this microRNA (20 nucleotides) under Prunus persica (peach). Its description in RNAcentral is "microRNA miRNA_113". Lineage: Eukaryota; Viridiplantae; Streptophyta; Magnoliopsida; Rosales; Rosaceae. The record is from RNAcentral.